This is a long non-coding RNA of Alosa sapidissima (American shad), 1206 nucleotides long. RefSeq lists it as uncharacterized. The transcript has 2 exons. The record is from RefSeq and is a predicted model, not a curated record. Lineage: Eukaryota; Metazoa; Chordata; Actinopteri; Clupeiformes; Clupeidae.
UGUUCCCAUUAACCAGUGUCUCACAUCUGGUUCUGCAUUUUUUGCCUACUCCUUGCAGAACUCAGCCAGUUGAGAUACAUUUGUGGGACAACUGGCAUGUACUGCCCACUUCAGAUCUAGCCAAAACAAUUCUAGUGAAUUAUCUGAACUUUGACUAGGCCAAUUCAGAAUAUGAAUUGUCUUUAUCUUAAGCCAUUCCUUGGUAAUUUUGCUUGAAUGGUUGUAGGGUCAUUAUCCUGUUGUAAAAUCUAUUUCCUCCCUAGCUUCAUCUCCGUGGCUGACAUGAGGUUCAGAUCAAGAAUUUGCUGAUAGACCUGAGAAUUCAUGGUUUCCUGGAUGAUAUGAUAUUGUCCAGGCAUAACAACAAAUCCACAUUUCCACCACCAUGCUUCACGCUUCAUGCUGUUGAGAGUGGGGGUCUUUUCUUAAAGUGUUAGCUUUCCUCUAAACAUGAUGAUUUGGAUUGUGACAGAUAAUUCUAUUUUGGAUACACCUGUCCAGAGAAUAGACUUCCACAAGGGCUCUGAAAGUUGAAUCGGGAGAGCAGAGCCAGAGGCUUCCUUCUAGCAACCCUCUCAUGAAAGUCGUGUCUGUUCCAGUUUCGUCUAAUUGUAGAUGCAUGUAAAUUUAUUCCAGAUGCUGCCAUCAAGGUCUGUAACUCUUCAGAGGUGAUGUGUGGGUUGGUUUUUAUCCAAUUUAUUAUCUUUCUGAUGCAUCUUGGUCAUACUUUUGAUGCAUCCACUUCUAGGAAAUGUUGCUGUGAUGCUGAAUGCCCUCAAUUUGCAAAUAAUUUGUCUUAAAUGGAGUUUGUGGAUACUGUACUGAUUCCAGUUUCAUUUACUACGGUCUUUUAGAGAGGGUCUUGCAGCUUUCCCCAGACUGAUGGGCUGUCACUACUUUCUUCUUUAUGUUCUCGGAUUAUACCUUUCUUCUUGUCAUUGUUGAUCCCUGUGGGUAUGUCUUGGCACUACAGUGGAAGUCUGUUUGAUAAGUAGGCAUUCUUAUUUAAAAACUGAUGAUGAUAAAAUAAGAAAAUCCUGAUAAAACGACAUAAAACUCCAAACUGUUCAAUGGGUUCGCGUACUUUCAAGCAGCACUGUAUUGAUCUUUAGCUUUUGAACUAACUGUUAUGUGAAAUAGAGCUGCAUUCGCAUUCUUUAUGUACAAAUGCUUGUCUUUAAAAAGAAAAAUACAUUAUUACAUCAA